GUCCUCGAUCUGCUGCGGACAGAUGAAGUGGAUGUGGCUGUCGAAGCCUCCGGCUGUCAGGAUGCGGCCCUCACCGGCGAUGGCCUCCGUUCCGGGACCGACGAUGAUGUUGACGCCCGACUGCGUGUCCGGGUUACCCGCCUUGCCGAUGGCCGCGAUGCGUCCGUCCUUCAGCCCCACGUCUGCCUUGUAGACGCCGGUCCAGUCGACAAUCAGCGCAUUGGUGAUGACGGUAUCGACGGCACCCUCGGCGCGGGUGACCUGGCUUUGCCCCAUGCCGUCGCGGAU
RNAcentral lists this small RNA (288 nucleotides) under Sagittula stellata E-37. RNAcentral describes it as "5' ureB small RNA". It matches the Rfam family "5' ureB small RNA". Lineage: Bacteria; Pseudomonadati; Pseudomonadota; Alphaproteobacteria; Rhodobacterales; Roseobacteraceae. The record is from Rfam by way of RNAcentral.